RNAcentral lists this ribosomal RNA (447 nucleotides) under uncultured bacterium. Its description in RNAcentral is "partial 16S ribosomal RNA". It matches the Rfam family "Bacterial small subunit ribosomal RNA", at positions 330 to 793 of the family's 1533-position model. The record is from RNAcentral.
UCCAGACUCCUACGGGAGGCAGCAGUGGGGAAUAUUGCACAAUGGGGGAAACCCUGAUGCAGCGACGCCGCGUGAGCGAGGAAGUAUUUCGGUAUGUAAAGCUCUGUCAGCAGGGAAGAAGAAUGACGGUACCUGAAGAAGAAGCACCGGCUAAAUACGUGCCAGCAGCCGCGGUAAUACGUAUGGUGCAAGCGUUAUCCGGAUUUACUGGGUGUAAAGGGAGCGCAGGCGGUUCUGCAAGUCUGAUGUGAAAGCCCGGGGCUCAACCCCGGGACGGCAUUGGAAACUGCAGGACUGGAGUGUCGGAGGGGUAAGCGGAAUUCCUGGGGUAGCGGUGAAAUGCGUAGAUAUCAGGAGGAACACCGGUGGCGAAGGCGGCCUGCUGGACUGCAACUGACGUUGAGGCCCGAAAGCGUGGGGAGCAAACAGGAUUAGAUACCCUAGUAC